RNAcentral lists this ribosomal RNA (253 nucleotides) under uncultured bacterium. RNAcentral describes it as "partial 16S ribosomal RNA". It matches the Rfam family "Bacterial small subunit ribosomal RNA", at positions 524 to 776 of the family's 1533-position model. The record is from RNAcentral.
UACGUAGGGUGCGAGCGUUAAUCGGAAUUACUGGGCGUAAAGCGUGCGCAGGCGGUUACAUAAGACAGAUGUGAAAUCCCCGGGCUCAACCUGGGAACUGCAUUUGUGACUGCAUAGCUUGAGUGCGGCAGAGGGGGAUGGAAUUCCGCGUGUAGCAGUGAAAUGCGUAGAUAUGCGGAGGAACACCGAUGGCGAAGGCAAUCCCCUGGGCCUGCACUGACGCUCAUGCACGAAAGCGUGGGGAGCAAACAGG